GCUCCCUUAGCUCAAUUGGCAGAGCAAGCGACUCUUAAUCGCUAGGUUGAUGGUUCAAGUCCAUCAGGGAGCA
Molecule: non-coding RNA, 73 nt
Organism: Gemmatimonadetes bacterium SCN 70-22
Lineage: Bacteria; Pseudomonadati; Gemmatimonadota
Source: Rfam